UUGUGUUAACUGUCCUCUAGCCCUUUAUUACUGUUCAGUUUAUGAUAAUAGACGGGGGUUGGCUGUAUAUAUUUGGUGUGAACUGUUUCUCAACCCAGCAGUGACACUUUCAGAUUCUCAGCAACACUGCUGUGUUUGAUACAUUCAUACCAGCACACACUACUAUGCCAUUACCCUCUCGGUGUCACUGCGGUUGAGAGAAUGAAUCAUAGCCCGCAGUCUACAAUCAGGCAGCCCCUUUGCACUAAUGGAUGGGGUAGAGCGAGGCUGAUAAAUUGUGCAAAAAGUGAUUUAUAUAGUAGAUGUAUUAGAUAAAAUGACCAAUGAGUAUGAGUAAAAGCUUUUCACAUAUUUACUUUAAAAGCAACACAAGUCUAGUAUGAAUUUGUACUAUUGAAAUACUCACUUCUUACAGUGCUCCAACCAUGCGAGCUCGGCCUGAGUUCUUUCCCACAGUGCUUUCUCUCGGAGCCUGAAGAGGGCACUGAACUGGCGCGCCCUGAUUUCCUCUUCCCAGAUAUACUGCUGACUCUGUGCCAAUGAGAGGUGGCACUGGAACUGUCCCUGACUGUACAUCCCGCUCAGAUCACUCCACUGCACACAGCGGAUUCAUGUUUAUCAUCAGUGGGCCUUGUGUAUGUCAGAACUUCUUUAUGACCAGUGAUGCCAAGCCUGACAGUCUCAUUCUUCACACGUGCAUCCAGAGAGGCUAUCGUCUUUCUGAGAGCCUCCACUCUGUGUCUCUGAGCCUCAGCCUGGAUAAUCAAAGAGCUAUUCACAUCAACCAGGUGCACAGGAUUGUUGGUCUUAGACCGGGCAUCAGAAAACAGCUCCAUCUGCAAAGUUCUGCCACAUAAACAGAAACACACAAUAAAACCAACCAUAUGUAAUAUAACAUAAUUAACCGUGGCACAUUGAGUUUACUCUAAAACAAGAAAACAUCGAAACCUAAUACUAGUGAAUGCUGCCCUCACCUGGAUGUAUCCAAAACAGCAUAUUGUGCAUUGAGUUGCAGUCCAGGAAUCUUGCUGUUAGCAAAUACUCCUUUGUCAGCAUUUUUGCUUUUCUAAGAAAUGAAAUGUUAUGAAAGACAGCAUCAGAGCCUACUCUGAUGAAACACUUGUCCACUACAGUGUGUGUGUGUGUGUGUGUGUGUGUGUGUGUGUGUGUGUGUGUGUGUGUGUAUAACAGCCUCUACAUCUGUUUCCAUGUGAAUUACACAUUUGUAAACAUCUCUUCUGGCUUUCCACUUUUAACAUUGUUCACGCAAUGGGACUCAUUUUAUAGACUCAUUUCAUCGUUGAUCAUCAUUGCUUUAGGCCUAUUGGAAAACAUCCUGUGAUAUGGUGUACUGUAUGUAAAAACAUAAUUAAACGGAUUGUUUGUAUUUAGGAUCACCACUGAAAAGAGAGUUUAUAGAGUCAAGAAAGUAGCACUGAAAUCCCAAAGCAACUUUUGAUUACAGGCAUCCUAAAACAGAAUAAAAUAGUAAAAAAAAAAAAAAAAGAAAAGAAAGCAAGGUAACAGAAUUUUACAUUAGAUUUAUGUUUCAGUUGAACAGCAGGUACCUUGACGGCUGCAAUUCAGUUAGACUCGAUACUGCGAAGAGUGGUUGAAAUUACACAGCAGAAGAAAAGUGGUUUUCUAAUAUAUCGCACUUCACAGAGUAGGCUGAACUGAAGUUUAUGCAGCUGAUUUAAAUGGACCGGUGCAUUGGAAAUAAUGGCUAUACUAUUUGUUCACUAAGCUGCAGGGCAUUAAUUCCAGACACACCUCAGACUCUUACCGCAGACUCUUGUGUCUGCUGUUUCCUGGUCCUGUGGAUAGCGUCUUUUUGCUUUUUUACUAUGUCCUGCACCCUCCUUCUCUUCCUCUCCUGCUCAAAUUCCACAUUUCUCCUCAUAUGUCGUUCCCUUCUCCUCCUCUCAAGGACUUGUCGAUGCAUGUAUUCAUGCACCUCUUGUGCCUUUUGCCUCUGUGCUGUACUUUGUUUGGCAGGACCUUCAUUCUCCUUCUCUUUCAAACACAAUGGCCAUGCAGAGUUGCUUUUUCCAGAGCUACUAGGAGGGUUUGCUGCCUGGUUAGGUGGAUGUGAAAUAUUUCUAGGGGAAUGACAGCAUGAUUUCUCAGUCACAUUUGACUCAUUAGAUCUAUGUUUUGAACCACCUUGAGUGUUCAGUGCUGCAGUCUGUUGGCGAUUCUUCUGUGUGAAUUGUCCCUUAUGCUCUGUAAAUUAAACACAACUUGAUUAAAAUUUCCAAAUCUAUUUACUGUAAACUAGAGGCAGGAUCUUUUGAUAGUCAUAUGGUUGAAGUGUAUUGUACCACAAUAAGAGUACUGAAUUCUGCAGCAUACUCUUGGUGUUGUCCUCCUGAGACUCUGAGGCCCUGAUGCAUUGGGAAUCUAAGACCUCUUUCACAAGCUUCUGGGCAUCUCUCCAAGCAGAUAUGAAGCAUCCCAUCGAGUCAUUUCUUACGUUUUCUUGGAGCAGUACCAUGGAUGGCUCGGUUCAUAUGGUGGUCUUUGCCUGAGGAUGGGUUUGUGUUGGCGUUCCAUCGAGACACAGGAGAUCUGAUGAUGUCAUUGCUCAUUUAGUGUUCAGUGAAGCUCAGAUACAUUACAGACCUUUGCUACUCACUCGGCAGACUUUCCUGGUUAUGUGAUCUUGACAUUUUAUCUCAAUCACUGGACUUAAAGAUAUGGUUUCCAGUCUCUGCUGUUGGAUCUUGGCUCUCAGAUUCUCAAGAGCCUUUGAUUUUGGGGAGCCCCUUUUCAGCAGAUCCAUACGGUUGGCCCUCGUCGGUGAGUUGAUAGACAGAGCACUACUUUGUCUGGAUCCUUGGAUAUGAGACUCGGCCUGUUGGAGAGGAACUUCCUUGGACACAUCUCUGCAUAUGUCCUGAAGUGGAGGUCGAGCUUUGUGUGAGAUCUCCAACAGAAAAGGAGUGGAUGAAUGGGGCUCAACAUGUGUCAUCUCACACCACAUAUUCCUAAGUUUGAAGGGCAGGAAUAGUCUUAGACAGUCAUUUCUAUAUAUAAUUUUUUAGUUUUAGAUUUUUAAAAAAUGUAUUUUGGAUUACUGUUCUAUAGAAAAGAGCAACAUUCAACGUUUCAAACAUCAAUUUUCCAAAAAAUUUAAUUCUUGCAAAGAAACAUUUUCAUGUUAUUCACUCAAUUGGUGUUUUUGAUGAUGGUGGUGGACAGUGGUGUCUAACAUGUCAUCCUAAAUCUCUUGUAGGUAUUCAUUUAGGUUGAGGUCCGUUUUUUCUGUGUUUUGACGCCAGUACCAUACCGAGCCUCUGUUCUUUAUUCAUGUUUCCCGGUUUUUGAUCCUGUUUUGUCCUCGUGUUUAGAGAAUCUUCUUUAACCUAGUAUAUGAUGUUUGUACAUCUCCUGACCCACACCUUUUUCUGGAUUCUGAUGUUGCCUAUUUUUUAUUUUUUUUUUAAAUAUUUGUCUGCCUGCCUCUUAUUAGCACAAUUUAACUGCAUUUGCAUUUGUCUUACUCCUCACUGUAAGUUCAAAAAAGUGAGGAAACUAAUUACCUCAAAAUGUUUAAGGUGAUAUAUCAAUUUCUUUAAGCCAAAUACACUUAAAUUUAACAGCAAUGUAACUCAAUUAACUCUGUUUAAGUGUAACUGUUUAACUGGAUUUUUGAUUUCCAUGAACUGUAAGCCGUAAUCAUCAAGAUUAAAACAAAAAAGGUUUGAAAUAUUUCACUUUAUGUGCAAUGAAUCUAGAAUAUAUGAAAGUUCCACAUUAUGAAUUAAAAUUACGAAAAAAAAUUACUUUCCCAUGAUAUUCUAAUUUUCUGAGAUGCACCUGUAUACGCUCAGUUGCCUAGUGUCUCUGUCUAUACCAAGCCUUUAUAGUGUGUUUGUUCUUUCUGGGUUUUUACUUUGCUCAUGUUCACGACCUCGUCUCUUUGCCCUGCCUUGUUUGUACUGUUUGCCUGAUCGCCUGACCUCUGCCUGUUUAUGAUUAUCGACUUCUACCUCAUCCUGUGGACUUGUUGUUUUAUUAAACUGCCAUUCGUGCACUUGCUUCUGCCUGUGCCUCCAUUACGUGACAUAUACAUAUACAUAUACAUUUGAGUACAAAACUAUGCAUCCCCUGAAAUGAACACACCCCUGAGUGUAUCUCACAACAAAUAACAAUCCAAGAGACAUAAAGAAAUGUCUGGGAGAAAGCAGUUAUAACAAAUAUGUAAGGAAAAAUGAAAAGAUAAAUAUUACACUUAAAAAUAUCCAUAUGCUGCCAAGACGU
Molecule: RNA transcript, 4266 nt
Organism: Ictalurus punctatus (channel catfish)
Lineage: Eukaryota; Metazoa; Chordata; Actinopteri; Siluriformes; Ictaluridae
Gene: gpsm1a
Gene name: G protein signaling modulator 1a
Exons: 4
Source: RefSeq, a predicted model, not a curated record